CGAUUAUCCAUCUACGUCUACAAUGGUGAUUUGGUCAUUUUUAACAUUUUUGCAAGGGUGUAAUGGAAUGAGAACCACAGUGAGAUGAAGAAUUGCAGUCAAAAGGCUGACAGUUAUUGGCUGCACAACAGGAGGAUGAGGAGAGGAAGACGGGGUGGUUCUUGAAGAGAGGAGGAGGAGGAGGAGGAGGACUGCAGGGUUUCUGCUCAGUGAGCUGGAACCUUCUCACGCCUCUGGCCAGUGCUCAGAGACUAAGAGGAGGAGGAGGAGGAGGAGGAGGAGGAGGAGGAGGCAAGACAAAAGGAAGAAGUUAUAAAGGAAACCAAAAACCACAGAGAAAAUUAGAGAGCAAAAGAUGAACAGUUUGGAGGAGGAAGUGCAAGACGAGCGGCAACAUAGAUGUACUGCGAAUGACACACUCGAAGUGGGAGAGAGAUGCACACACACGUGUUUCCGGGAAGCGUUGCAAGAUUUUUUCCUCUUUGUGUGGUGUGUGUGUUGUGUUUGUGUUGAUAUUUGUUUGUGUGUCUCACCAGAUGGGAAUGACUGCAGGGCAGAGUGAGGGCAUAUGGUGAUGUGGCAUGACUCUGGCCCUGAUGUUCACACGUCAAAACUGUGAUUUACGACUUCGAGGUCUGGAGACACAGCCCCCAGAAAUCUUCUAUGAAAGCCAUUUUGUGUGUGUCGAAGCAGGGGACACUUUCAUGCGUGUGUUGCCUCAUUUGCACACAGAAACAAAAAACACGAUUCGUUGUCGGAUUUCUUCAUUUCAUCCCCACAUUUGUAUAACAUUAAAGCUUCUGUAACGUCAAGUAAUAACGUAGGUUUGUGGGGCUGUAAUGUGUCAGAGGAGUCACGAGGUCAGUGGUCACGUGGAGGAGUCUCUAAUCUGCCUGCAAAAGGAAAAUGUGUGUAAGGGUGUUUGUGUGUUUAUGUGCGUGUGUGUGUUUGUUGGACACUAAUUGGACGACAGACUGACAGUCAGAUUGAUUGAAAAGAGAGAGAGAGAGGAGAGUGGAGAGUCAAUGAACGGGAGACACAGAGGAAGAAAUGUUUCUUAAUUGCGGAGGCACAUGUCUGAUGGUGUGAAAGUGUGUCUAAUAUGUUUGCCUAAUGAAAAUGUGUGUAUUGCUGCACGAGAGAGAGAGCGUGAAAGAGAGAGAGAGAGAGAGAGUGUGAAAUAAAUCCAAUAAGCUGCUCCGUCAUGCUCCCCUCUUGAGCGUUUUUAAGAUCCACUGAAUGAAAUAAAUAAGAGAUUCUUCCGCUUUUGUCAGUCCCCCUUU
This is a long non-coding RNA of Acanthopagrus latus (yellowfin seabream), 1283 nucleotides long. RefSeq lists it as uncharacterized. The record is from RefSeq and is a predicted model, not a curated record. The transcript is spliced from 2 exons. Lineage: Eukaryota; Metazoa; Chordata; Actinopteri; Spariformes; Sparidae.